This 83-nucleotide non-coding RNA is filed under the name Streptomyces sp. The record is from RNAcentral. Lineage: Bacteria; Bacillati; Actinomycetota; Actinomycetes; Kitasatosporales; Streptomycetaceae.
GGGGAAGUCCGGUGAGAGUCCGGCGCUGACCCGCAACGGUGUGCGUGGCGACCUGACGGUCCGUCACGCGAGUCCGAUCGCCC